RNAcentral lists this ribosomal RNA (482 nucleotides) under uncultured bacterium. RNAcentral's name for it is "SSU rRNA". It matches the Rfam family "Bacterial small subunit ribosomal RNA", at positions 26 to 523 of the family's 1533-position model. The record is from RNAcentral.
AGGACGAACGCUGGCGGCGUGCUUAACACAUGCAAGUCGAGCGGUAAGGCCCUUUCGGGGGUACACGAGCGGCGAACGGGUGAGUAACACGUGGGUGACCUGCCCUUAGCUCUGGGAUAAGCCUGGGAAACUGGGUCUAAUACCGGAUAUGACCUCGCGAUGCAUGUCGUGGGGUGGAAAGCCUUGUGCGGCUAGGGAUGGGCCCGCGGCCUAUCAGCUUGUUGGUGGGGUGAUGGCCUACCAAGGCGACGACGGGUAGCCGGCCUGAGAGGGCGACCGGCCACACUGGGACUGAGACACGGCCCAGACUCCUACGGGAGGCAGCAGUGGGGAAUCUUGCGCAAUGGGCGAAAGCCUGACGCAGCGACGCCGCGUGAGGGAUGACGGCCUUCGGGUUGUAACCUCUUUCAGCCCUGACGAAGCGAAAGUGACGGUAGGGCGAGAAGAAGCACCGGCCAACUACGCGCCAGCAGCCGCGGUAA